UCCUAACAAUGCCGAAGUUGCAAGACAACAGAGAGGAAGAGGACAACAACAUCAACAACAAAGACAGGUCAUCUCAGAUGAAAUCCGUGCCACCCUAGUUCAUCAUGUGCUCAUACAUGGGAGGACUAUGAGAGAAGCUGGACAGCUAGUGGAACCCAAUCUAAGCCGUUACACAGUUGCAUCCAUUGUCCGUACUUUCAGAAAGGAAAACAGAACUGAGAGGCAGCCAUCUAUGGGAGGUAGGUGGAGACUUCUCACAGCUGAGCAGGAGACUGCCCUGGUGAAUACGGUGAUUGCCAAUAAUGCCAUCCGUUUGAGGGAAAUUCAAACCCAAAUAGUUGAAGACCAGAUAGUCUUCCAAGGAAUUGACAGCAUCAACACUUCCACCAUUGACUGGGUCUUUCAGAAGAACCACAUAAGGACAAAGCAGCUGUACCGUGUGCCUUUUGAAAGGAAUUCAAACAGAGUUAAGGAGUAACGAUUCCAAUAUGUGCAGAGAAUCUGAACUGGAUGCCAUGGCUGACCCACAGGAGUACAUCUUCAUCGACGAGGCAGGGUUCAACCUAACAAUAAAGCGCAAAAGGGGGAGCAACAUCAUUGGUCACCGUGCCAUCAUACAAGUUCCUGGCCAGAGGGGAGGAACGUAACCCUAUGUGCAGCCAUCAGCAAUCGUGGCGUCCUCCACCGCCAUGUCAAAGUGCGUCCAUACAACACGGCACAACUCCUUCAAUAGCUGCACAAUAACAUUAUUCAACAGGAAGAGGAGCAGGGCAACCAGAGCAAUCCCAAUAUGUUGUCAUUUGGGAAAACGUGAGUUUCCAUUGGGCUGCUCUGGUUCGCGCCUGGUUCAAUGACCACCCCAGGUUCACCGUUCUUUUUUUGCCAGCAUAUUCCCCAUUUCUGAAUACAAUUGAGGAAUUCUUCUCAGCAUGGCGGUGGAGAGUGUAUGACCGUAACCUCUACGCACAGCAAAACCUCCUGGAGGCAAUGCUGGACGCUUGUGGUGAUGUGCCUGUGGAGUCUAUCCAGGAUUUUCUAAGGCAUUUUUCCCACGCUGUCUGGGCAGAGCAAACAUAAUGUGUGACGCUUAUGAGAUAUUAUGGCCUGACCCAGACCUGAGACAAGAUGAUGAGAAUGCUGAUGCUGAGUAACUUGUACAUUUGCUGCAUUUGGAAAUAAAGCUUUUGGAAAUUGGG
This is a long non-coding RNA of Salvelinus sp. IW2-2015, 1196 nucleotides long. RefSeq lists it as uncharacterized. NCBI's taxonomy places the organism in Eukaryota, Metazoa, Chordata, Actinopteri, Salmoniformes, Salmonidae. The record is from RefSeq and is a predicted model, not a curated record.